RNAcentral lists this ribosomal RNA (216 nucleotides) under Glomeromycotina sp. RNAcentral's name for it is "partial small subunit ribosomal RNA". The stretch from base 44 to 216 matches the Rfam family "Eukaryotic small subunit ribosomal RNA", at positions 690 to 864 of the family's 1831-position model. Lineage: Eukaryota; Fungi; Glomeromycota. The record is from RNAcentral.
GGGUCAGUAGGUUGGUCGUGCCACCGGUACGUACUGGUCUCGCUGAUUCCUCCUUCCUGAAGAACCGUAAUGCCAUUAAUUUGGUGUUGCGGGGAAAUAGGACUGUUACUUUGAAAAAAUUAGAGUGUUUAAAGCAAGCUAACGCUUGAAUACAUUAGCAUGGAAUAAUGAAAUAGGACGAUCGAUCCUAUUUUGUUGGUUUCUAGGAUUGACGUA